This 569-nucleotide ribosomal RNA is filed under the name uncultured bacterium. RNAcentral describes it as "bacterial SSU rRNA". It matches the Rfam family "Bacterial small subunit ribosomal RNA", at positions 354 to 916 of the family's 1533-position model. The record is from RNAcentral.
GUGGGGAAUUUUGGACAAUGGGGGCAAGCCUGAUCCAGCCAUGCCGCGUGCAGGAUGAAGGCCUUCGGGUUGUAAACUGCUUUUGUACGGAACGAAAAGGCUCUUUCUAAUAAAUGGGGCUCAUGACGGUACCGUAAGAAUAAGCACCGGCUAACUACGUGCCAGCAGCCGCGGUAAUACGUAGGGUGCGAGCGUUAAUCGGAAUUACUGGGCGUAAAGGGUGCGCAGGCGGUCUUGCAAGUCAGAUGUGAAAGCCCCGGGCUUAACCUGGGAAUUGCGUUUGAAACUACAAGGCUAGAGUGCAGAAGAGGAAAGUGGAAUUCCAUGUGUAGCAGUGAAAUGCGUAGAGAUGUGGAAGAACACCGAUGGCGAAGGCAGCUCCCUGGGUUGACACUGACGCUCAUGCACGAAAGCGUGGGGAGCAAACAGGAUUAGAUACCCUGGUAGUCCACGCCCUAAACGAUGUCAACUGGUUGUUGGGAAUUAACUUUCUCAGUAACGAAGCUAACGCGUGAAGUUGACCGCCUGGGGAGUACGGCCGCAAGGUUAAAACUCAAAGGAAUUGACGG